UAAUCUGUGAAUAUUAUAGCUCGUAUGAUAUGUUUGUCUCUAGAUUUUGCAAUUUCUGUGAUUGUUUAGUUAAUCUCAUGAGUUUUAAAGCAUGGGUAUGCUUAUAAUUUAAAUUUUAUGAAGUGAGAUUUUUAAUUUUGGUCAUGUCUCUUGAGGGUUUAGAUAUUUUAUUUUGUUUUAAACCUUUUGUUCAAUUUAAAAUAGUAGUAUGAUGGUAUUUGUUUUGGUUUUUUCUUGUUUGUGUUGUAAUUGAAGAUUUUGACUCCUGGGUUUUUGUAGAUGAGAUGAGAUAAGGGUCAAUAUUGUUUCAAUUGAAUACUGUUCUCCUUUAAGUGUAGAUUUGAGUCCUUAAGAGUAAUUUUUAAAACUGAAAACUGUAGUUGUAGCAAUUUACCAACAUACUUCUGCGAUUAUGUAAGACUUCAGGAUUUGUGUUGUCAAGGCAUGGAGUGUUCCUUUCUUUUCUAGGUGAGCCUGAUCACCUGUAAUCCUCACUAUUCCUACUUGUUCACCCUUGCAUAUCAAGGGAAUAUUCAGUUGUCGUAUUUCUUAUCCACUUAUUUCAUUCGUCCAGGGUUUACUUCGUGAGUUAUGGUAGGCCUAAGAUUUUAUAGGUUCCCCUAUGGUUAUCAAUGCAAUUUGUAAGUUGAUUGGUAGAGUUGUUACCAUAUAAGUCAUGUUAGAUUUUUUCGCUGUAAUAACAACUACAGUUGGUGGUCGAAACGGCCAAUCGAGGAAGAAUAUUGGUUACAUAGUAGAGCAUGUGGGGGGAAUAGGUUCAUUUGGAGUUGCCUUCCAGUCCAAAUGUAGAGAGACUGGAGAAAUAGCUGCAAUCAAGAAGGUUCGUCAAGACAAGCGUUAUAAGAAUCGGGAGCUGCAAAUUAUGCAAAUGUUGGAUCACCCAAACAUCGUAGCUCUAAAGCAUAAUUUCUUUUCGAUCACAGGCAAGGAAGAGCCAUACCUAAAUAUAGUACUUGAGUUCGUACCAAACACUGUUUAUGGUGUUGCAAAGCACUACAGUCGGAUGAACCAGCACAUGCCACUAAUAUACGUGAACCUCCAUACUUAUCAGAUCUGCAGAUCACUUUCUUACAUUCUUAACUGUUUUGGUAUAUGUCACCAUGUUAUUAAGUCGUAGAAUCUAUUGAGAAUCAAAAUGUCAAAAGGAAGAAGUACCACGUAUUCAAGGUUGGGUGUUCAACAAAAAGUUGUUAAACUACUUACACCUUUCUCAGUAUCGUGGUGAAUAGACAACCCCAUCAGCUCCAUGGAUAUCUACGAUACCGCCACUCGGGAGCAGUCUUACUCUGAAAGCUCUAACAUAGAAAGGGUAACAGUACCAUGUAUAUGGAGCGAGGGGUUUUUCUAUUGGAACAGUAAAAUGACACACCAAACCAACAAGCUGCAAUCUAAGAAAUUGAUGCAGUAAAGCCAGUGCCUCUUUCUUCAUCUCACGUUGCAUUCCUAGAGCUCCUGUUUCCUAUUGCUGGUGGUCAGGGCAGCUGGAUAAGAUGCAAAUUUUAUGACAAUUUUCAAAGCAUGAAAUUUGCAUCGUAGUUAAAACGCUUGUAAUUUUAGUAUUGUGAUGCAGUUUAUCUCCUACAGUUGGAUCACACUUCCAAACUAGAAGAGCUGGUGUAUAUCUGAGAUCCUUUGUUAAUUGUCAUUGCAUGUGCCAAUUAGAUUGAGUUUUUGUAUUUGUAUUUUUUUUAAUUUUAAUUUCAGCUAUUUCUUGGUUCUCCGCAGAACAAUUAUUUUUCCUUAUGAGAUUUCAUGAAAUAACAAUCAUAUAUGUUCUUUUCCCCUUGUUUUGAUGUUAACUAAAGCUAUCUUGAUUUAUUACUGGAGUUUUUUUUCUUCCAGAAACUCUUAUCAGUUAAUCAUUUGUGUAUCUAAUUGUUGAAUUAUAUGGAACUUCCUUAAUCAUCUAGAUAAUUUUUGCAUUUUAUGUUGUGUAACACUAAAGGUAGAAGAGAAGGUUGACGCAAUGGAUGAAGGACAACCGAAGACGGUUUCGUCUGAGGUAUAUUUGACUGCAAUAGUGUAAUUUUUUAAACCAUCCUUAUAUAUUUUCUUUUAUACUUAUUGGCAUGCAUGUCUUCUAUCUUCUAUGAUAGGUGAGGUCGUACUUGGCACACACGUAGAUUGUGUCUUAUACUACUUUAAGCAUUUUCUAAGUCAAUUAUUUUGUCCCUUUGUAUAAUCUUCUCUUUACAAGAAUAAGAGUAAGAACACGUGACUUAUAGAAUAAUCUCAAAGAGGCAUCGUGGAGGUUUCAGUCCACUGGCCCAUGACACCUUGCCUCAGUCUCACUAGAAUUAUAUUCAAACUGUUGCCUAACAUUGCUAAAAGGAAAUGGAAGCAUAAAAAGUAGUAAGUAAACAAAACUAAAAUUUAUAUGAAACAGGCUAACAAAUCAGCACCCCCUCUAUCUUUAGUAUCUUCAGCUGCUAGGAAUCUUCACAGCUUUUUGUUGGUCUAUGAACUUGUAAGGAAUCUUCACAUAGAUGUUUAGGCUUUAGGGAUCAGGAUAUUGUUCGUGUAAAUGUCUCUGAAAUCUUGUCAAACUUACUGUAGCAGGUGCCCGUUAUUUCUUUUCAGUUGAUUCUUGACAGUUGCCAUUUGACCAUGAAUCAUAAUUGCCAAUGUUUCGUACAGAUUUCCAUUGUUUUUUUCAGGUAAGGAAGCUCAUUGCUUGUAUUAUUUGUGAGAUAAUAAGGACUCAAUGUAUUGUUUUGGAUUUCCCGUUCUGCCAAGGUAUUUUUGGCCAAUAAACAUUUUUUUGGAAAAGCUGCUUGAAAAGUUGUUAAAGGCACCUGGAGAAAGUGGUUUUGGAACCCGCGUUUUGGACACAGGCCACCCCAGGGCACCCAAAGUCAGAUGCUAAAGGCACCCUACUCUGGAUAGGGGGCGCCCUCUCUCUUCUCAAAUUUAAAUAAAGAAAAAAAGGCGGGAAAACAUGAGCAUCCAUAAACAAAUUUGGAUUUGAAUUUUUGAGUUGUUUUAAAGAGAUUCAAUCACGGAUAUCGGCUUGGUUUGGCCUGUUUGAGCAUAACAGGGCUGGUAUGGGUGUUGUAAUCAACCAGAAUUGGCUGCAUGAUCGUGUGGAGAAAAACAGAGAAGAAAAUAUCUCGAACAUGAUGAUUUGCUUCUGUGUGAGAUUUAGCCGGAUUUUACUCGUGAUGUGGAUUGAUAUAAUCCUGUUUCUGUUAAACAGGGAAGGUAUGGGCUGUAGAAUCGAGAAAACAGGGAUAGGAAUCGAGUUUCUACAAAACAGGGAGAUGGUUACACUCGGGUUCUGUGGAUUGACUUGAGAUGAUUUGGGAGAAGAUAUGGUGUUGUAUAUUGAGUGUAUCUGGUCCUGUUUCAGUAUUGAGAGGGUUUGGAAAGUUUUGAUAACUCAAAACCACGUGGAGAAGAGUCAGGGAGAAGAAAUAGCCCGAAACUUUUGGUAAAAGAAAACCAAGUUAUUCUCGGAUUUUUGGGAUAUCGGGAGUGAUUCUCGUGCUUGUGGUGUAUAAAUAGGCAUCUGUUUAGGUCAAGAAAAGGAGCACGUACACUUGGAGGAGUUUAGUUGAGAGGUUGGAGAGAUUUGGGAAGCUGCAGAGCCGAGAGAAAAAAUCACAGAGAAGUUUCUUUGCCGAUGCAGGGAAGAAGAAGACGAAGAACAAAAUCAGUCGAAGAAAGUCGUUGGAAACUGCCGCAUAUACUCGACAGUUUGCAACACCUUUCUAGCAACUGCUGAAUAGUGAUACAGCACUUCUCUUUUAUCGUUCAUUUUUUGACGAUAUUUGUGCGUUCCAGAUUCCUGUUUUAUACCAUUUUCUUGUUCUUCUCUCCAUUGUAAACACCAUUUGAGCAUCAAUGAAUUAUUUUGAAAGGUUUU
Molecule: RNA transcript, 3886 nt
Organism: Papaver somniferum (opium poppy)
Lineage: Eukaryota; Viridiplantae; Streptophyta; Magnoliopsida; Ranunculales; Papaveraceae
Gene name: shaggy-related protein kinase delta-like
Exons: 7
Source: RefSeq, a predicted model, not a curated record